GGACACGUGAAAUCCUGUCUGAACAUGGGGGGACCACCCUCCAAGCCUAAGUACUCCUUGUCGACCGAUAGCGAACAAGUACCGUGAGGGAAAGAUGCAAAGCCGCGCGAGAGCGCUGUCAAAGAGUACCUGAACUUGCUGAAAAGGAAGCGAAGG
This 156-nucleotide ribosomal RNA is filed under the name Symbiodinium sp. Mp. Its description in RNAcentral is "partial Bacterial large subunit ribosomal RNA". The stretch from base 1 to 134 matches the Rfam family "Bacterial large subunit ribosomal RNA", at positions 420 to 554 of the family's 2925-position model. The record is from RNAcentral. Lineage: Eukaryota; Dinophyceae; Suessiales; Symbiodiniaceae.